GACGAACGCUGGCGGCGUGCUUAACACAUGCAAGUCGAACGGUGAAGCGCCUUCCUUUUUGGUGGGUGGGGAUGAGUGGCGAACGGGUGAGUAACACGUGCGUAACCUGCCCUCCCCUGCGGGAUAACCGCAUGAAAGUGAGGCUAAUACGGGAUAUUCUGGGUCUGUCGCAUGAUGGGUCUGGGAAAGAUUUUGUUUCGGUGGGGGAUGGGCUCGCGGCCUAUCAGCUUGUUGGUGGGGUGAUGGCCUACCAAGGCGGUGAGGGGUAGCCGGCCUGAGAGGGUGGGCGGUAACAGAGGGGAUGCGACGUGGAGACGCCUACUACAGGCGGCAGCGGGGGAGAAUAGUGAACGAGGGGCGGAAGCAUGAUGCAGCGCCGCGGCGUGGGGGAUGGAGGCCGUCGGGUUGUGAACCUCUUUCGCGAGUGAAGCGGGCCCGCCUCGUUUGUGGGUGGGUUGACGGUAGCUGGAGAAGAAGCGCCGGCUAACUACGUG
Molecule: ribosomal RNA, 494 nt
Filed under: uncultured bacterium
Lineage: Bacteria
Description: partial 16S ribosomal RNA
Rfam family: Bacterial small subunit ribosomal RNA
Source: RNAcentral